UUAACAAAAACAUGUCCUUUUGAUAAUAAUUUAAGGUCUAACCUGCCCACUGAAUUUUUAAAUGGCCGCGGUAUUUUGACCGUGCAAAGGUAGCAUAAUCAUUAGUUUUUUAAUUGAAAGCUGGUAUGAAUGGUUGAAUGAGAAAGCAGCUGUCUCAAGUUUAUUUUUUUUAGAAUUUUAUAUUUAAGUCAAAAAGCUUAAAUUUAAUUAAAAGACGAGAAGACCCUAUAGAAUUUUAUAUGUAUUAUUUUAAUUAUUAUUAGUUUUGGGUUAUUUUUAAUUUAAUGUGAUAUUUUGUUGGGGUGACAGAAAAAUUUAAUUAACUUUUUUUAAAUUUUUUCACUAAUUAGUGUUUGUUUGAUCCAAAGAUUUUUGAUUAUAAGAAUAAAUUACCUUAGGGAUAACAGCGUAAUUUUUUUUGAGAGUUCUUAUCGAAAAAGAAGAUUGCGACCUCGAUGUUGGAUUAAAGUUUAUUUAUGGUGCAGAAGCUAUACGAUUGGGUCUGUUCGACCCUUGAAACUUUACAUGAUCUGAGUUA
Molecule: ribosomal RNA, 538 nt
Filed under: Temnoscheila caerulea
Lineage: Eukaryota; Metazoa; Arthropoda; Insecta; Coleoptera; Trogossitidae
Description: partial 16S ribosomal RNA
Rfam family: Bacterial large subunit ribosomal RNA
Source: RNAcentral